This 253-nucleotide ribosomal RNA is filed under the name uncultured bacterium. RNAcentral's name for it is "partial 16S ribosomal RNA". It matches the Rfam family "Bacterial small subunit ribosomal RNA", at positions 524 to 776 of the family's 1533-position model. The record is from RNAcentral.
UACAGAGGGUGCGAGCGUUAAUCGGAAUUACUGGGCGUAAAGCGUGCGCAGGCGGUUCGCCAAGUCAGGUGUGAAAUCCCCGGGCUUAACCUGGGAAUUGCGCUUGAAACUAGCGGGCUUGAGUGCGGCAGAGGGGGGUGGAAUUCCACGUGUAGCAGUGAAAUGCGUAGAGAUGCGGAGGAACACCGAUGGCGAAGGCAGCCCCCUGGGCUGACACUGACGCUCAGGCACGAAAGCGUGGGGAGCAAACAGG